CAAAUAAAAAAAGAGCAAAACGGGACGGAAAUUUUGGGGUGGGGAGGGGGCAAAAAUGCUGCGUUAAAUUGUGUUUUAUAUAAUAAAAUUAUCUAUCUACAUAUAUAUAUAUAUAUAUAUAUACACAGCAAGAGCUGAAAUGUCCCCAGGGACGGGGGGGACACCGAGCUCGGCCCGGGGACCCCAAAGGACGCUCGAGGUGGGGCCACUUUAUUAUAAAUAUUAAUUUUAUUUUCAUUUUUUUUUCCCUUUUUUUUUUUUUUUGGUUUUGUUGGUUUUUUUUUUUUGUUGUUGGUUUUUUUUUUCUGCGUCUUUCUAUAUAAUCUAUUAAAGAGAUUCUUUAUCUUCAAGCACUCGCAAAGGUUGCAGCGGUUUUUAUGUGUUUUUUUUUCAAUUUUUGGUUGGUUUUUUUUUUUGGUGAGGAUUUUCGUGGGGGUGGGUGGGGAGGAAAAGGAGUGAGGAAAGGAAGAGAGAGAAAAAAAAAUUAAAUAUAAAGAAAUAUAUUAAAAAAAUAAAUAAAGCACAGAAAAGACAUUCCAUAGAUUGUAACUUUGAUAGUUCUUUAUAAAGUGGGGGGAGAUGAGGAAAAAAAAAAUAAAUAAAAACGAUGACAAAAAACGACAAAAAAAAAUUAAAAUAAUAAAAAUUGCACUUUGGGGGGGGGCUUUAAAAUAAAAAAAAAAGAAAAAAAAAGAGAGAAAUAAACUAUAUAUUAAAAAUACACCCGGAGCCCGCUGGAUUUCUUGGGGGAGGAGAGGAAGGAGAGCACCGGCUCUUCUUGGGGGCCCCCUAAUUUUUUGGGGGGGGGAAUUGGUGGGGUUUUAAUGAUUUUUGGGGUGGGGGUUCCUGGGAUUUGGGGGCUCCAGGGUCGCGGGGAGGGGAUUUUGGGGUGAUUUCCUCUAUUUUGGGGAUGGCCAGGGCUGCACAGGGAGACUUUUAGGGGGGUUCCCCCCGUUUUGGGGGUGUCCAGGACUGCACAGGGGAUUUUUGGGGUGUGUUCCCCCUAUUUUGGGGGUCUCCAGAACUGCACGAAGGGAUUUUUGGGGGUGUUCCCCCCAUUUUGGGGUGCCCAGGGCUGCUGCGGGGGGGCUCUGUCACAACCUGUGGCCGUGCCUCAGUUUCCCCAGAUGGACCAAACCCCCUCCCCCCUUACAGAAUAAGGGAAAAGGGGGGGGUCCCAUCCCCUGCUCAGCACCNGGAGCUGGGAUUGGGAUUUGUGUCCCUCCAACUCCGCCCUGGGCAGGGGAAUUGGGAUCUGGGCUGGGAAAUUGGGAUCUGGGCAGGACCGACCCUCUGGCAGCACUGGCUGGGAUUUUUUGGGAAUAAGGAAAGAAAAUUCGGUGUGGAUUUGGAAUUUAGGGACUGGAGGAGGAUCCCGGUUGUGCUCGGGGUUCUCUCAUCCCAGAUUUUCCCACCCUUGCUGCUGCUUUUCCUUCCCCCUUCCCAAUCCCGAGGGAAUUUUGGGAUGUUUGGGGGCUCUGGGGAAGCAGCACCGGGAGGGGGUGAGAGAAAAGGGAAAAAGGGGAAAAAAGGGGGAAAAAAAGGGGGAAAAAAAGGGGGAAAAAAAGGGGGAAAAAAAGGGGGGAAAGAUUAAAAAAAAAAAGAAGGAAAAAAGGGGGAAAGGGAAACUGGAGGGGAGAAAUAAAAGAGGGAAAAUAAGGGAAAGAAAGGGGGGG
Molecule: long non-coding RNA, 1676 nt
Filed under: Parus major (Great Tit)
Lineage: Eukaryota; Metazoa; Chordata; Aves; Passeriformes; Paridae
Description: lncRNA (ENSPMJG00000011746.1)
Source: RNAcentral